GCUAUAAUCACUAUACUCCCCAAGGUAUGAUCACUAAGAGCUUGUUCCUGUUCCUGCUCUCUGGGGAAAGAGAGGUUCACCCACUGGAAGCUGGAUCCUGGCCUUGGGUCCAGGGUGGGUGGAGACAGCAGAGACCCCGGCGCAGUUGUAUCGCUGGAAGUGGGGUCUGCAGUGCUGAUGGUGUCGGUUGGAGUGCUUGGAGUCCUCAGCGAGCACUAGGAGCAUCGAUUGGCGGAGGUACUCAGUUGGAGUGCCAGUGUUCCGUCACACCAAGUAUCUCACCUCAACAAUGUCUGUACAAGAAGCUGAGCUAUAGGCUCCCAUCACAGCAUGCAAGAUCUCUGAAGGAAGACUGAACUCGGAGGAAGCAUGUGGCAACUCUCUG
Pelobates cultripes (western spadefoot toad) is the source of this 385-nucleotide non-coding RNA. The record is from the annotation of a GenBank genome assembly. NCBI's taxonomy places the organism in Eukaryota, Metazoa, Chordata, Amphibia, Anura, Pelobatidae.